RNAcentral lists this small RNA (124 nucleotides) under Marmota monax (woodchuck). Lineage: Eukaryota; Metazoa; Chordata; Mammalia; Rodentia; Sciuridae. The record is from RNAcentral.
GCUGGCACCGUGGCGCAUGCCUGUAAUCCCAGUGGCUCAGGAGGCUGAGGCAGGAGGAUCACAAGUUCAAAGCCAGCCUUAGCAAUGGUGAAGUGCUAAGCAACUCAGUGAGACCCUGUCUCUA